GUCACCUCCAUAGGUACAACCAGGAGGAAGGAGGAGAGAGAUCCUUUCCAUUGAAGAACACUUCCUGAGUGGGCGCCCCCAGCCCUCUGCUGCUUGGACCUCAUUGGCCAGAACUCAGUCAGAUGAAGCAGCUUGCUGGGGAGGCUGAGUAAUGCUGUCUGGGUUCCGGGAAGCCCUGGGGAGUUGAGUGUCAGUUUUCUUACCAUGGAAGAAGGGAAGAGUAGACUUCAGGAAUAGCCUCACUCACUCUCCACAGGAGAAUCCCAGCCAGCGAACAACAUCACGUCUCUUCUCCAGCCCCCCUCCAACUCAGCCCUCCAGGACCUCAGAAUGGAACUGUGUUUGGAGACAGGACCUUUAAAAUGGUGUCUAGCCACAGAGAUUUCCUGGGCUGCUGAAAUAGGCACACGAUACCUUUGGCCCUCAGUCCUUAGGGAUGGUGGUCCAAAAUUCCCU
RNAcentral lists this long non-coding RNA (456 nucleotides) under Mus caroli (Ryukyu mouse). RNAcentral describes it as "predicted gene 13053 (MGP_CAROLIEiJ_G0034560.1)". Lineage: Eukaryota; Metazoa; Chordata; Mammalia; Rodentia; Muridae. The record is from RNAcentral.